This 73-nucleotide transfer RNA is filed under the name Tupanvirus deep ocean. Its description in RNAcentral is "tRNA-Asn". It matches the Rfam family "tRNA". Rfam says of the family: Transfer RNA (tRNA) molecules are approximately 80 nucleotides in length. Lineage: Varidnaviria; Bamfordvirae; Nucleocytoviricota; Megaviricetes; Imitervirales; Mimiviridae. The record is from RNAcentral. RNAcentral also lists the same sequence under 1 other name.
GCCUUGUUAGUUCAAUAGUUAGAAUACCUGGCUGUUAACCAGGAGACAAUGGAGCAUAACCAUUACAAGGCGC